CUUGCCUCUGGUGUUUUAUUACAAAGGAUUAUGGCAUGAAAAGCCAUUUUGUUCCCCUCUUCCCAAUGCAUAUCCCCCUCUCCAUGAUUUAUUCCUCUCCACAGGCAACAGCUGGGGUAUGACAUCCCAGGAAAUGGAGGGGAAAAUAAGGUGGGGGCUCAAACCCAUAGCGGGGAUGCACCCAAUGCCCAAGUCGUGACAGAAGUUUACCAGGGGUACCUGAGACUGCUCAUGCACCUUCAUAAUGUGAGGGGUGGAAAAACAAAAUCAAAAGCUUUCCAUGGUGGAUAAGGAAUUGUCAUCUCACUCUGUCUGGACAGGGCAGAGAUCAGUGUCCUCUUCUUGGACACUGCUGUCCCCAAGCCUGUGUGCCGCACUGCCAGUGCUGGUGGCACCCUGUGAUAUCACAGCCCCAAACCUGCCUGGAAGAACUUGUAUGGGAAUCUCCUGCUGACCACGGGGAACCUGGGGCCAGGUUGGGCACAGCAUGAUGCAGGGUACCAGCUUGGCACAGAGGGAACCAGCUCCGGAGCCAUGGGCAGCAGAUAAGCAUGUUGCAACAGAUGCCUUGUGCUGUGUCCUGAAGGACCAUCCUGUCUGUGCACUUACAUCAGGGGGAGGACAACAAGGAGUAGGGUGGUGAACCCAGCUUUAAGAAGAAAGCCCAUGCAUGAGAUGUGAGAGGGAAGAGAGCUGUUAAGAGGAGGAAAUCCCAAGAAGGCUUUCAAUAUAAUUGCUGUAGACACAAGAAGACAACCCUCUUUCAGAGCAACCACUGUAAGAGCUUAAGCCCUACUUUCUAGAAAGCAGCUGGACAUCACCUGCUGAUGAGAAGUAGAGAAUAAAUCCUUUGCUUUCCACA
Cyanistes caeruleus (blue tit) is the source of this 862-nucleotide non-coding RNA. The record is from RefSeq and is a predicted model, not a curated record. Lineage: Eukaryota; Metazoa; Chordata; Aves; Passeriformes; Paridae.